Molecule: ribosomal RNA, 439 nt
Filed under: uncultured bacterium
Lineage: Bacteria
Description: partial 16S ribosomal RNA
Rfam family: Bacterial small subunit ribosomal RNA
Source: RNAcentral
CUACGGGGGGCAGCAGUGAGGAAUAUUGCACAAUGGGGGGAACCCUGAUGCAGCAACGCCGCGUGGAGGAUGACGCAUUUCGGUGUGUAAACUCCUUUUAUAUGUCAAGAAAAUGACGGUAGCAUAUGAAUAAGCACCGGCUAACUCCGUGCCAGCAGCCGCGGUAAUACGGAGGGUGCAAGCGUUACUCGGAAUCACUGGGCGUAAAGGACGCGUAGGCGGGUUGGAAAGUCAGGUGUGAAAUCCUACAGCUUAACUGUAGAACUGCACUUGAAACUUCUACUCUAGAGUAUGGGAGGGGGGGAUGGAAUUAGUGGUGUAGGGGUAAAAUCCGUAGAUAUCACUAGGAAUACCUAAAGCGAAGGCGAUCUCCUGGAACAUUACUGACGCUAAGGCGUGAAAGCGUGGGGAUCAAACAGGAUUAGAUACCCGAGUAGUC